ACGAACGCUGGUGGCUGCCUAAUACAUGCAAGUCGAACAGUGGCGGACGGGUGAGUAACGCGUGAGCAACCUGCCUAUGACAGUGGGAUAGCCUCGGGAAACCGGGAUUAAUACCGCAUAGUCAUAGAUGGGCUCGCGUCUGAUUAGCUAGUUGGUGAGAUAACAGCCCACCAAGGCGACGAUCAGUAGCCGGUCUGAGAGGAUGAACGGCCACAUUGGAACUGAGACACGGUCCAAACUCCUACGGGAGGCAGCAGUGGGGAAUAGUGCACAAUGGGGGAAACCCUGAUGCAGCGACGCCGCGUGAACGAAGAAGGUAUUCGUAUCGUAAAGUUCUGUCCUAUGGGAAGCAGUACCAUAGAAGAAAGCUCCGGCUAAAUACGUGCCAGCAGCCGCGGUAAUAC
Molecule: ribosomal RNA, 404 nt
Filed under: uncultured bacterium
Lineage: Bacteria
Description: partial 16S ribosomal RNA
Rfam family: Bacterial small subunit ribosomal RNA
Source: RNAcentral